Molecule: ribosomal RNA, 935 nt
Filed under: uncultured bacterium
Lineage: Bacteria
Description: bacterial SSU rRNA
Rfam family: Bacterial small subunit ribosomal RNA
Source: RNAcentral
AGAGUUUGAUCAUGGCUCAGAACGAACGUUGGCGGCGUGGAUUAGGCAUGCAAGUCGUGCGUGAAAGGGGCUUCGGCCCUGAGUAAAGCGGCGAACGGGUGAGUAACGCGUGGGAAACCUGCCUCGAGGUGGGGGAUAACACUCCCAACGGAGUGCUAAUACCGCAUGACAUCCCUUGGUCGCAUGGCCGAGGGAUCAAAGAUGGCCUCUACUUGUAAGCUAUCGCCUGGAGAUGGUCCCGCGUCCGAUUAGCUAGUUGGUGAGGUAACGGCUCACCAAGGCGACGAUCGGUAGCUGGUCUGAGAGGAUGGUCAGCCACACUGGGACUGAGAUACGGCCCAGACUCCUACGGGAGGCAGCAGUCGAGAGGCUUCGGCAAUGGGGGAAACCCUGACCGAGCGACGCCGCGUGAGGGACGAAGUCCUUCGGGGUGUAAACCUCUUUUCUGAGGGAAGAAACCCGCGACGGUGAACAAUCGUUGCGAUUGACGGUACCUCAGGAAUAAGCUCCGGCUAACUCCGUGCCAGCAGCCGCGGUAACACGGGGGGAGCAAACGUUGUUCGGAAUCACUGGGCGUAAAGGGCGCGUAGGCGGCCCCGUAAGUGGUGUGUGAAAUGCCCUGGCUCAACCAGGGAAUAGCGCUCCAAACUGCGGGGCUUGAGGGCAGUAGAGGAAGCUGGAAUUCCAGGUGUAGCGGUGAAAUGCGUAGAUAUCUGGAGGAACACCGUUGGCGAAGGCGAGCUUCUGGGCUGUCACUGACGCUGAGGCGCGAAAGCUGGGGGAGCAAACAGGAUUAGAUACCCUGGUAGUCCCAGCUGUAAACGGUGAACACUAGGUGGUGGGGAGGUGUCGACCCUUCCCGUGCCGCAGCUAACGCAUUAAGUGUUCCGCCUGGGGAGUACGGUCGCAAGGCUGAAACUCAAAUGAAUUGACGG